GUGGGGAAUAUUGCCCAAUGGACGCAAGUCUGAGGCAGCAACGCCGCGUGGGCGAUGAAGGCCUUCGGAUUGUAAAGCCCUUUUCUGGGGGAAGAGGAAGGACGGUACCUCAGGAAUAAGUCACGGCUAACUACGUGCCAGCAGCCGCGGUAAUACGUAGGUGGCAAGCGUUAUCCGGAUUCACUGGGCGUAAAGCGCGUGCAGGCGGUUUCGUAAGUCGGACGUGAAAGCUCCUGGCUUAACUGGGAGAGGUCGUUCGAUACUGCGGGGCUUGAGGUCGGGAGAGGGACGUGGAAUUCCCGGUGUAGUGGUGGAAUGCGUAGAUAUCGGGAGGAACACCAGUGGCGAAGGCGACGUCCUGGCCCGCACCUGACGCUGAGACGCGAAAGCGUGGGUAGCGAACGGGAUUAGAUACCCUGGUAGUCC
Molecule: ribosomal RNA, 426 nt
Filed under: uncultured bacterium
Lineage: Bacteria
Description: partial 16S ribosomal RNA
Rfam family: Bacterial small subunit ribosomal RNA
Source: RNAcentral